UAGAUCAGAAUAGCAUUCAUAGAAAUGUUCUAACACAGAGUAGAAUCGAACAUUGAAGAGAUUAGUUUACAACAGUAAAUAGAUGGGCGCCUAAUUCCAACACAAUAGGGGUCUAUGGGUGCAAGUCAGCUGAACACCAUGAUUGAUGAGUGGGUAGGUGGGUUAGGUGCACCUCUCGCCUAGUAAGAAAUAAUGAGGCUAGU
Molecule: long non-coding RNA, 203 nt
Filed under: Gossypium barbadense (sea-island cotton)
Lineage: Eukaryota; Viridiplantae; Streptophyta; Magnoliopsida; Malvales; Malvaceae
Description: long non-coding RNA (GBAR_LNC007182)
Source: RNAcentral